UGAUCCACGCAACUCCUGAGUGGAGGAGCCA
Molecule: non-coding RNA, 31 nt
Filed under: Mus musculus (house mouse)
Lineage: Eukaryota; Metazoa; Chordata; Mammalia; Rodentia; Muridae
Source: RNAcentral